GACGAACGCUGGCGGCGUGCUUAACACAUGCAAGUCGAACGGAAAGGCCCUGCUUGCAGGGUACUCGAGUGGCGAACGGGUGAGUAACACGUGGGUGAUCUGCCCCGCACUUCGGGAUAAGCCUUGAAAACUGGGUCUAAUACCGGAUAGGAGCCAUCUUGCGUGUGAUUGUUGGAAAGUUUUUUCGGUUUGGGAUGAGCUCGCGGCCUAUCAGCUUGUUGGUGGGGUAGGGGCGUACCAAGGCUGCGAGGGGUAGCAGGCCUGAGAGGGUGGACGGCCACAUUGGGCCGGAGAUACGGCCCAGCCUGAUCGGGGAGGCAGCGGUGGGGAAGAUAGUACAAGGGGAGGCAGCAGACUGCAGCACAGCCGUGUGAGGGAGGAUGGGAAGCGGGUUGUAAACCGCUUUCGCCUGUGACGAAGCGAGAGUGACGGUAAUGGGUAAAGAAGCACCGGCUAACUCCGUG
This 464-nucleotide ribosomal RNA is filed under the name uncultured bacterium. RNAcentral describes it as "partial 16S ribosomal RNA". It matches the Rfam family "Bacterial small subunit ribosomal RNA", at positions 28 to 507 of the family's 1533-position model. The record is from RNAcentral.